This 1496-nucleotide ribosomal RNA is filed under the name Parasphaerichthys lineatus. RNAcentral's name for it is "partial 16S ribosomal RNA". It matches the Rfam family "Bacterial large subunit ribosomal RNA", at positions 150 to 2597 of the family's 2925-position model. Lineage: Eukaryota; Metazoa; Chordata; Actinopteri; Anabantiformes; Osphronemidae. The record is from RNAcentral.
UACCCAACAGCUAGCCCGAAACCCUAAAAUCAACAAACACUAUUAAUAACCCCAAAAUCACUGACAUUCAUUAAACAAACCAUUUUUCCUCCUUAGUAUAGGCGAUAGAAAAGGAUUUAGGAGCUAUAGAUAAAGUACCGCAAGGGAACGCUGAAAAAGAAAUGAAAUAAAUCAGUAAAGUAUAAAAAAGCAAAGACUAAUUCUUGUACCUUUUGCAUCAUGAUUUAGCUAGAAAAUGCAAGCAAAGAGCCCUUUAGUUUGAUACCCCGAAACUAAGUGAGCUACUUCAAGACAGCCUAGUAAUAGGGCAAACCCGUCUCUGUGGCAAAAGAGUGGGAAGAACUUUAAGUAGAGGUGACAGACCUACCGAACUUAGUUAUAGCUGGUUGCCUGUGAAUUGAAUAGAAGUUCAGCCUCCCAGCUUCUUUCUUCCCUUCACUUUAGUCAAUUCUGAUAAAAAGAAACCGAGAGAGUUAGUUAAAAGGGGUACAGCCCUUUUAAAACAAAUACAACUUUUAAAGGUGGGUAAAGAUCAUAAUUAAUAAGGUAAAAUGUUCUAGUGGGCCUAAAAGCAGCCACCUAUUUAGAAAGCGUUAAAGCUCAGACAUUAUUUUUUACCCCCAAUACCGAUAAAUUAUCUAAUCCCCCUAAAAUUACCAGGCCGCCUCAUGCCCCCAUGAGGGUGACCAUGCUAAUAUGAGUAAUAAGAGAGCAAGCCUCUCUCCCUGCACACAUGUAAUUCGGAACGAACACAUCACCGAUUAUUAACGGCCCCACAUAAAGAGGGCACUGAGUAAUAAAAUAAAAAACUAGAAAAUCAUUCAACAAUUAACCGUUAACCCUACACUGGAGUGCAAACAAGGAAAGACUAAAAGAAAAAGAAGGAACUCGGCAUACACAAGCCUCGCCUGUUUACCAAAAACAUCGCCUCUUGCAAAAUUAAAGAAUAAGAGGUCCCGCCUGCCCUGUGACAAUAGUUUAACGGCCGCGGUAUUUUGACCGUGCAAAGGUAGCGCAAUCACUUGUCUUUUAAAUGAAGACCUGUAUGAAUGGCAUAACGAGGGCUUAACUGUCUCCUUUUUCAAGUCAAUGAAAUUGAUCUCUCCGUGCAGAAGCGGAGAUAAUCUCAUAAGACGAGAAGACCCUAUGGAGCUUUAGACACAAGACAGAUCUUGUUAAAUCCCCUAAAUAAAGAAAAUAAACCAAAAGAACCCUGUCCUAAUGUCUUUGGUUGGGGCGACCGCGGGGUAACAAUUAACCCCCAUGUGGACUGAAAAAACUUUUUUCAAAAACAAGAGCUACAACUCUAAUUAACAGAAUAUCUGACCAUAAGAUCCGGCAAUGCCGAUCAACGGACCUAGUUACCCUAGGGAUAACAGCGCAAUCCUCUUUUAGAGCCCAUAUCGACAAGAGGGUUUACGACCUCGAUGUUGGAUCAGGACAUCCUAAUGGUGCAGCCGCUAUUAAGGGUUCGUUUGUUCAACGAUUAAAGUCCU